Molecule: small nucleolar RNA, 143 nt
Filed under: Eurypyga helias (sunbittern)
Lineage: Eukaryota; Metazoa; Chordata; Aves; Eurypygiformes; Eurypygidae
Description: Small nucleolar RNA SNORA12
Rfam family: Small nucleolar RNA SNORA12
About the family: U108 belongs to the H/ACA family of snoRNAs. The sequence is predicted to guide the pseudouridylation of the U372 residue in the 28S rRNA subunit. However it has not been reported as a pseudouridylation site.
Source: Rfam by way of RNAcentral
UAUUGUGGUGGGUUUCUGUGUUUGGCAGGUCUGCAACUGCGUCAGAGUGGCCUUAAACUACCACAGAGAUCAGACAGGAGAAGGCUGUGCUGAGAAAUUUCUCAAGCUUUUAGUUUUCAACUUCUUGUUCAGCUCCUACAGAA